GGCUGGUCGGAAGGUGGUGAGUCAUUUCCUGAUGGCUCACAGUUCGUUAUAGAUGGACUCCCCAUUACGGACUCUUUCUUAUAGACCUGUUUCUCACAGACCCCGUUACAGACUCUUUCCUCCUCUCACCACUGCACUUGUCUAAAAA
Molecule: small RNA, 148 nt
Filed under: Microcebus murinus (gray mouse lemur)
Lineage: Eukaryota; Metazoa; Chordata; Mammalia; Primates; Cheirogaleidae
Description: Y RNA (ENSMICG00000024593.3)
Source: RNAcentral